RNAcentral lists this ribosomal RNA (532 nucleotides) under uncultured bacterium. RNAcentral describes it as "partial 16S ribosomal RNA". It matches the Rfam family "Bacterial small subunit ribosomal RNA", at positions 356 to 881 of the family's 1533-position model. The record is from RNAcentral.
UAGGAAUCUCCACAAUGGACGAAGUCUGAUGGAGCAACGCCGCGUGAGUGAUGAAGGGUUUCGGCUCGUAAAACUCUGUUGUUGGAGAAGAACGGGUGUCAGAGUAACUGUUGACAUCGUGACGGUAUCCAACCAGAAAGCCACGGCUAACUACGUGCCAGCAGCCGCGGUAAUACGUAGGUGGCAAGCGUUGUCCGGAUUUAUUGGGCGUAAAGCGAGCGCAGGCGGUUUUUUAGGUCUGAUGUGAAAGCCUUCGGCUUAACCGGAGAAGUGCAUCGGAAACCGGGAGACUUGAGUGCAGAAGAGGACAGUGGAACUCCAUGUGUAGCGGUGAAAUGCGUAGAUAUAUGGAAGAACACCAGUGGCGAAGGCGGCUGUCUGGUCUGCAAACUGACGCUGAGGCUCGAAAGCAUGGUAGCGAACAGGAUUAGAUACCCUUGGUAGUCCAUGCCGUAAACGAUGAGUGCUAAGUGUUGGAGGGUUUCCGCCCUUCAGUGCUGCAGCUAACGCAUUAAGCACUCCGCCUGGGAGU